RNAcentral lists this ribosomal RNA (433 nucleotides) under uncultured bacterium. RNAcentral's name for it is "partial 16S ribosomal RNA". It matches the Rfam family "Bacterial small subunit ribosomal RNA", at positions 29 to 507 of the family's 1533-position model. The record is from RNAcentral.
AACGAACGCUGGCGGCAUGCCUAACACAUGCAAGUCGAACGAGACCUUCGGGUCUAGUGGCUCACGGGUGCGUAACGCGUGGGAACCUUCCCUUAUGUUCGGAAUAACUCCCCGAAAUGGGUGCUAAUACCGGAUAAUGUCUUCUGACCAAAGAUUUAUCGCCUUUGGAUGGGCCCGCGUUGGAUUAGCUAUUUGGUAGGGUAAAAGCCUACCAAGGCGACGAUCCAUAGCUGGUCUGAGAGGAUGAUCAGCCACACUGGGACUGAGACACGGCCCAGAAUCCUACGGGAGGCAGCAGUGGGGAAUAUUGGAAAAUGGGCGAAAGCAUGAUGCAGCAAUGCCGCGUGAGUGAUGAAGGCCUUAGGGUUGUAAAGCUCUUUUACCCGGGAUGAUAAUGACAGUACCGGGAGAAUAAGCUCCGGCUAACUCCGUG